UUUAUUUAAAGUGUCAAUACUAGCUCAUCGUACUUGACACAUUCCUGAACAAUUCCGCCAUCUUUUUUUCGUGUUAGUUGGAAGAACGUGUUGGAGCAGACUGUUUGUCGUUAAGAAAAGGUUAGUUCGUGUUGUAAAUUACAUCCGUUGUGCGACAGAGUGACACAAAUUGUGCGACGUAUUACAACGGAAAUUAUAAAGGAAAGUGUAGAUUGUAAUAUUUCAGAACAAUUAAAUUUUUGAUCACUA
Long non-coding RNA from Manduca sexta (tobacco hornworm), 249 nucleotides. RefSeq lists it as uncharacterized. Lineage: Eukaryota; Metazoa; Arthropoda; Insecta; Lepidoptera; Sphingidae. The record is from RefSeq and is a predicted model, not a curated record. The transcript has 2 exons.